CAAUAGCGUAUAUUAAAGUUGUUGCAGUUAAAAAGCUCGUAGUUGGAUUUCUGGUAGGAGUGACCGUUCCGAACUUGAUUGUUCGUGUAUUGUGUUUUCUCCAGCCAUCCUUGCGGAGAACUUUUCUUGCAUUAAUUUGUAGGGAUUGGGACCCGCAUCGUUUACUGUGAAAAAAUUAGAGUGUUUAAAGCAGGCAAUCGCUUGAAUACAUUAGCAUGGAAUAAUAAGAUAGGACUUUGGUACUAUUUUGUUGGUUUGCAUACCAAAUUAAUGAUCAACAGGAACAGUUUGAGGAUAUUCGUAUGAACAUGUCAGAGGUGAAAUUCUUGGAUUUUGAUCAGACGAACUACUGCGAAAGCAUUUAUCAAGGAUGUUUUCAUUAA
RNAcentral lists this ribosomal RNA (383 nucleotides) under uncultured eukaryote. Its description in RNAcentral is "partial 18S ribosomal RNA". It matches the Rfam family "Eukaryotic small subunit ribosomal RNA", at positions 592 to 976 of the family's 1831-position model. The record is from RNAcentral.